This 576-nucleotide ribosomal RNA is filed under the name Triticum aestivum (bread wheat). RNAcentral's name for it is "partial small subunit ribosomal RNA". The record is from RNAcentral. Lineage: Eukaryota; Viridiplantae; Streptophyta; Magnoliopsida; Poales; Poaceae.
AUGUUGCCCGUGCUUGUUAACAGAGCGAAACAAGAUGGUCAGGUAGGUGGUCUUAUCCCCCAUCUAGUUGAUGGUGGGGUAUCUAUCCUACAAUACGCAGACGAUACUAUUAUUUUCAUGGAGCAUGACCUCGCGAAAGCAAGGAACAUGAAGUUAGUUCUUUGCUUAUUCGAACAACUAUCCGGACUCAAGAUUAAUUUUAAUAAGAAUGAAUUAUUCUGCUUUGGACGCGCUAAGGAGGAGCAAGAAAGUUAUAAACAGUUGUUCGGGUGUGAAUUAGGUGUGCUUCCCUUUACGUAUCUAGGGGUACCAAUUCAUCAUCGCAAACUUGCUAAUAAAGAAUGGAAAUGUAUUGAGGAUAGGUUUGAGAAGAAAUUAAGUUGCUGGAAAGGCAAACUUUUAUCGUACAGAGGAAGGUUAACUCUUAUUAAUUCGGUGCUAACGAGCAUGCCGAUGUUCCUCCUCUCUUUCUUUGAAGUACCAGUAGGAGUACGGAAAAGAUUAGAAAACUACCAAUCCAAAUUCUUUUGGCAAAUUGAUGAGAAUAAGGCCAAGUAUAGGCUAAGUGGGAGAUGA